Acanthosepion pharaonis is the source of this 114-nucleotide non-coding RNA. The record is from the annotation of a GenBank genome assembly. Lineage: Eukaryota; Metazoa; Mollusca; Cephalopoda; Sepiida; Sepiidae.
UUACGACCAUAUUGCGUUUAAACACCGGUUCCCGUACGUUCACCAAAGUUAAGCAACGUCGAGUCUGGUCAGUACCUAAAUAGGUGACCCUUUGGUAAUACCAGGUGCUGUAAG